RNAcentral lists this transfer RNA (60 nucleotides) under Syllis sp. JYC-2022. RNAcentral's name for it is "tRNA-Val". The record is from RNAcentral. Lineage: Eukaryota; Metazoa; Annelida; Polychaeta; Phyllodocida; Syllidae.
UCGAAUAUAGUAUAAAAAAUACACUUUGCUUACACCAAAAAAAUAAUCUUUUUAUUCGAU